UACGUAGGGUCCAAGCGUUGUCCGGAUUUAUUGGGCGUAAAGAGCUCGUAGGCGGUUCGGUAAGUCGGAUGUGAAAACUCAGGGCUCAACCCGGAGACGCCAUCCGAUACUGCUGUGACUGGAGUCUGGUAGGGGAUCACGGAAUACCUGGUGUAGCGGUGAAAUGCGCAGAUAUCAGGUGGAACACCGAUGGCGAAGGCAGUGAUCUGGGCCAGUACUGACGCUGAGGAGCGAAAGCGUGGGGAGCAAACAGG
This 254-nucleotide ribosomal RNA is filed under the name uncultured bacterium. RNAcentral's name for it is "partial 16S ribosomal RNA". It matches the Rfam family "Bacterial small subunit ribosomal RNA", at positions 524 to 776 of the family's 1533-position model. The record is from RNAcentral.